This 446-nucleotide ribosomal RNA is filed under the name uncultured bacterium. Its description in RNAcentral is "bacterial SSU rRNA". It matches the Rfam family "Bacterial small subunit ribosomal RNA", at positions 354 to 796 of the family's 1533-position model. The record is from RNAcentral.
GUGGGGAAUAUUGGACAAUGGGGGGAACCCUGAUCCAGCCAUGCCGCGUGGAGGAAGACUGCCCUCUGGGUUGUAAACUCCUUUUAUAUGGGAAGAACCGUCCUCAUUAAUGAGUGACCUGACGGUACCAUAGGAAUAAGCACCGGCUAACUCCGUGCCAGCAGCCGCGGUAAUACGGAGGGUGCAAGCGUUAUCCGGAUUCACUGGGUUUAAAGGGUGCGUAGGCGGAUAAAUAAGUCAGUGGUGAAAUCAACGGGCUCAACCUGUUAACUGCCAUUGAUACUGUGUAUCUUGAAUAUGAGAGAGGUAGGCGGAAUGUUGCAUGUAGCGGUGAAAUGCUUAGAUAUGCUACGGAACACCGAUUGCGAAGGCAGCUUACUAUUUCGUAAUUGACGCUGAGGCACGAAAGCGUGGGUAGCGAACAGGAUUAGAUACCCUGGUAGUCC